This 377-nucleotide ribosomal RNA is filed under the name uncultured eukaryote. RNAcentral's name for it is "partial 18S ribosomal RNA". It matches the Rfam family "Eukaryotic small subunit ribosomal RNA", at positions 592 to 976 of the family's 1831-position model. The record is from RNAcentral.
CAAUAGCGUAUAUUUAAGUUGCUGCAGUUAAAAAGCUCGUAGUUGGAUUUCGGGUGGGAAUGGCCGGUCCGCCGUUUCGGUGUGCACUUGCUACGCCCACCUUGCUGCCGGGGACGUGCUCUUGAGUUCACGCUCGGGACACGGAGUCGGCGAGGGUACUUUGAGUAAAUUAGAGUGUUCAAAGCAGGCCUACGCUCUGAAUCCAUUAGCAUGGAAUAACACGAUAGGACUCUGGCCUAUCUUGUUGGUCUGUAGGACCGGAGUAAUGAUUAAGAGGGACAGUCGGGGGCAUUCGUAUUUCAUUGUCAGAGGUGAAAUUCUUGGAUUUAUGAAAGACGAACUACUGCGAAAGCAUUUGCCAAGGAUGUUUUCAUUAA